Molecule: unclassified non-coding RNA, 352 nt
Filed under: soil metagenome
Description: partial contains 5.8S ribosomal RNA, internal transcribed spacer 2, and large subunit ribosomal RNA
Rfam family: 5.8S ribosomal RNA (bases 1-120)
Source: RNAcentral
GAUGAAGAACGUAGCGAAAUGCGAUAAGUAAUGUGAAUUGCAGAAUUCAGUGAAUCAUCGAAUCUUUGAACGCACAUUGCGCCCGCCAGUUUUCUGGCGGGCAUGCCUGUUCGAGCGUCAUUACAACCCUCAGGCCCCCGGGCCUGGCGUUGGGGAUCGGCGGAGCCCCCCGUGGGCACACGCCGUCCCCCAAAUGCAGUGGCGGUCCCGCCGCAGCUUCCAUCGCGUAGUAGCUAACACCUCGCGACUGGAGAGCGGCGCGGCCACGCCGUAAAACACCCAACUCUUCUGAAGUUGACCUCGAAUCAGGUAGGAAUACCCGCUGAACUUAAGCAUAUCAAUAAGCGGAGGA